Molecule: long non-coding RNA, 5297 nt
Organism: Alexandromys fortis (reed vole)
Lineage: Eukaryota; Metazoa; Chordata; Mammalia; Rodentia; Cricetidae
Exons: 2
Source: RefSeq, a predicted model, not a curated record
UGAUUGUGCUUUACUUAUUGGAAUCCGACGAACACCCUUUCCAGUCCCAUGGUUCCUGCCAUUGUCGUGCCGAUCAAAGUGGGAAUAGCAUCAGCUCAAGUGGGAGUAGGCUGGACUUAUUUCAUUCCCAGGGAUGACUCUGAGACCAGGGACUAGGUGUACUACCUGACACGGUGGCUGGUUGGUGGGAUACAAGAGGAGAUGCCAGUGGGGCGCGUGAAAUGGUCCGGAUGUACUAACCAAAAUAAAAAUGUUACAAACAAAACACAAACCGAAAUAACUGAUAAAGGCACGAAUCAAAGCUGUCCUGCUAUGUCUGAAAUAACCGCUACGUUCUGUCGAAACAGUUGCUCCAUCUCUUCUGUCCCUCAUCUAAGAUGGGUGUAAAUAUUAUCUGUUUGAACUUUGCCUUUAAAAGCUGCCGUUCUCUUGAGCUUUGGCACCAAGAGUCUUUCUGAGGCACUAGCCUGCUCUUGAUUGCCAGGCAAAAAAAAUUCUUAAUUGGCUUAGUGUUAUAGCACAGUUAUGAAGGUACACCCUAAAAUGCAAAAGGCUUGUGAUCUGACUGUUUCUCUGGUUAUUAUUGGGGGAAUUAUCUUCUAGAUGCUUCAAGAAUGUGUGCGUGUGUGUGUGUGUGUGUGUGUGUGUGUGUGUGUGUGUGCUUAAAACACCCUGAGAGGCUCAGGGCUACAAUGGAAUCCCCAAUGUCCAGUGUAGAAUACCCAGUGUAGUUGCCCAUUGGCUAAUAACGACUUCCUAUUGCAGUGGUUCUCAAACUUUCUAAUUCUGUGACCCUUAAUACAGUUCUUCAUGUGACCCCAGAUAUAAAAUUAUUUUUAUUGCUACUUCAUAACUAUAACUUUGCUACUAUGAUUAAUCAUAGUGUAAAUAGCCAAUACCGGCUAUUUCAUAAGCAACUUCUGUGAAAUAGUAGUUCAACCUCCUCUACAGGGGUCACAACCCACAAGUUGAGAACUGUUUCUGGGUCCUAACGGCUCCUUUGGGGGAGGGGGUGAGAAGGUGCGGCCUCAAGGGCAUCAAGUUCGGGAGUCAGGUGAAAGGCAAGCAGCAGACUUGUUUAUUCGGUAACUGGGAACACUUAUAUAACCUCCUCCCAGCACCCAAGCUGUGUUCUGAUUCGUUGACAUCACAUGAUCACCCUUCAUUGGCACGAUCAGGACCUCUGACAGCACCUGUUGUUAGGCCCUCUGGUUGGCUCAUUUCUCAGCCUUGUAGGCCUUAUCUUCUUAUAUAUCUAUCCCCUUUUUUUAUUUAUUACAUGGGUGCUGAGCGGGAGCCAGAGUACUUUGCUCAGGCCUUGUUGAUUCUGCCUCAGGAGGGCUCAGCAACGGGACUGUGCCUGUCAUAGACUGGCUGCGGAACAAGCUCACACCCACCAUUGACUACCAUCCCUUGAAAAGCAUUCAUUCUGGGAGAGCUGCCAGGGUUGGGGGACGAGGCAGUAGCCUUUUGAAUUUCAGAUAACCAGGCAUGUAUACCCUGCAGAGGACUGUGGGAGGGAUGCCUGAGAGCCUUUACCACCUGAGGAGUCACCUCAGUUGCUGCCUGCUGCUGUUGAAUACGCUGCAGGAGACAUUUAAAAAGAAUAAGGAUUAACAAUAAAUACCACUCUGCCAGUUAAGGCAUAUGUGAGCAUCCAGAAGGAUCAAUGUCCUUUUUAUAAUUGUUUUUAUUGAGCUAUAUAUUUUUCUCUGUUCCCCUUCCUUCCUCUCCCCUCUCCUUCUACCCACUCCCAUGGUCCUCAUGUUCCCAAUUUACUCAGGAGAUCUUGCCGUUUUUUAUUUCCCAUGUAGACUAGAUCCAUGUAUGUCUCUCCUAGGGUCCUCUUUGUUGUCUAGUUCCCUGGGAUUGUGAUUUGUAGGCUGGUUUUUCUUUGCUUUAUUUCUAAAAGCCACUUAUGAGUGAGUACAUAUUAUGUUUGUCUUUCUGGGUCUGGGUUACCUCACUCAAUAUGAUAUUUUCUAGAUCCAUCCAUUUGCCUGCAAAUUUCAAGAUGUCAUAAUUUUUUUCCAUUGUGUAGUACUCCAUUGUGCAAAUGUACCACAUUUAAUUUAUCCAUUCGGUUGAGGGGCAUUUAGGUUGUUUUCAGGUUCUGGCUAUGACAAACAACGCUUGCUGCUAUGAACAUAGCUGAGCUCAUGUCCUUGUGGUAUGAUUGAGCAUCCUUUGUGUAUAUAUCCAAAAGUGGUAUUGCUGGGUCUUGAGGUAGGUUGUCAAAUAGCCUUUUUUAUAUUAUGCCAAACUUUCUCAAAAAAUGAAGAGUCAAAGGCCAUAACCUCUCCCCUUUUCUGAUCUAGUUGAAAAAUAAGAUCCUGUAUGCUAGCUGUAAUGAACAAUAUAGAAACUUAGCUGACCAUGGGCCCUUAAUAUAUUUAGCCAGCUCCUGGGGUGCUGAACUAACAUCCCUCAUCUCAAAAGGCAUCAUACAAAAUGAGGGGAAGUGAGGACCACAAAUGAGUCUCAUCAAGGUAAUUAAAGUGCAAAUCUCUUUCUCUAAUAACACAUCAAUUUGUUUGGGGGACAAUUAGAGCAAGACAGGGGAGGAGGUACAUCAGCUAUCCUGCGUUAUUCCUUCCUUGGUGGCAGCAGACAGCUCUUAAUGGGACCCAUAUUGGCGUCUUGGCAGUCUGAGGAAAUACACAAGCAUCCCUUCACCCACAGGUUAGCAGGCAAAGCAGGCUAUGGUCUGCAGUCCUUUGCCUAAUGAAAUCCCUUAUUGCAGCCGGGGCAUCGGGUCCUAGGUUUUGCCUCAGGUGGCCUGGUUUGCUGCACCCCCCAGCAAGAUCUAUCAACUUGGGGGCCCUUGGGUGUGUCAUCAGCAGGCUGCCUGUCUGCAAAGAGGGCAUCCAGGGAAGCAGUGAGGGCAGCAAUGGGACUAUUACUGAGAUCAAGAUCUCUUGUGGCUGCACCCACUUGUGAAUGUCUUCAUUGCGGGUGGGGGCAUUAAGCCCUUCCCAAACCAAUUGUUUGAUUAUCAUUUCCCUAAUGGGGCCCCGUUCUCCUCUCUACUCCAUCGCCUCAUGGACACAUGCGAGAAAAUCAGUAAAAAUUUCCCCUGGCUGUACAGACUAGCGACUGUAGCAUCUUCUUCCCACAUAUUUACAGCCUGAGACUGCGCUUCUACAAGACCAGCUAACCCCUCCCCUGUGCUGUACCUAAUAACCCCACAGAGCUUCUGGCUUCCUGGCAGUGGUAGCAUUAGAAAACUCCACCGGCCCCCAGUGUCACUGUACGUGUGUCUGUGUGUCUGUUUUUUCUUCAUUCCCUCACUUCCCCUAGCCAGGGAUCCAGAACCCAAGCCCAAUGGGAGACGGUACCUGAAAUUAAACCAAAUAUCAGUGUGCAUGAGCCCCGCACAGUUACACAAAGCUGAUCCGGUUGCCUUUGGGCCAGGAGUGAAGCUUUUUCAUGAGAAAGGGAAAGGGGGCUUCAAUAACCGCCUAGAACCUGUAACUGAUAUUCCUGAUCCCUUAUAAUCCAAGCUCAGGGCAUCCAAGAGGCAUUUGCAGGAACUGAAUCUUUAAACCAUGCCUUUUUCAGAGAGCUAGCAACACGAGAGGAUGGUGGACGGGCAUCCUAAGCUGUCUUCCCCUCAUCUGCAGCCAUCAGAUGAUACAGGGAUGGGGAACCAAAGGCUCAUCUUGUCCUCUGGCCAGGGCAUUGCCUGGUCUCUCAGACUCUAUGUUUCCCUCACUACUUUUGCUCUGUGCAGCAGGGCAGGGUUCACAUACACCAAAGUCACUGAGUCCUGCAUUCCCCAGGUCAGUGUGUGGGUGAUGAGAUUUAAGGUUAACUCAGAGGCAACGAGCCAACAGAAGUCUAUCCAUGAUGGGCUGCGCUGCGGGUGUGCAGAUCCCUCUGGCAGAAUGUAGGGCAAAUGUCUCUGAAAUAGAGGAUAUGAAAUGUCUAGCAGAGUCCCAUGCAAACCAACACCUGAAAAUUGAGUCUUUGUUUACAGGUAUAAAAGACUAUCAGGAAAGUCAACACGUGAAUCUGAAAAAUAUGUGGCAAUCAGAGCCACAGACUCAAGAGUAAUCACAUAUCAAAAAAUUAAACAAAAAUUAAAAAAUAAACGUGAACAGCCAAUAACCAAUGACAAUUUAGGGAAAAAUAUCAAAUGGUAAUAUUUGAUAUUGAAAAUACUUUAAUCAAUUUGGAAAAAAGUAAGCCAGGUGUAGUGGUGUAUGCCUUUAACCCCAGCACUUGAGAGGCAGGUGAAUAUCUGCAAGAUCAAGUCCAGCCUGGUCUACAUUGUGAGUUCCAAGAUAACCAGAGCUAUAUAGUGACAACUGGUCUCAAAAAUAAAAAAGGAUUAAGAUAAAUUUAGAAUUUUUGAAAUAUUAAAAUGUAAGAAAUAAUGAAAAAAAGUUAAGGCAUAGAAAACUACAAAGUACAUUUGUUAUGCCCAGUCCAUGAGGACACAAAAAGAUCACCAGGGAGACCGACUCACUGAAAUGCAAAGGCAAGAUUUAUUAUGUGUACAAUACAAGUCAGCAAGGACCUCCUCAAAGCAACGGGCACAGCAGCAGCAAGAGGAGGUGCCCCGCCCUUCUAGAGGGCAUUAUUUAAAGGUGGUGGUGUUUACGUGCUGAGUUUUAUGUCCUGAAUGGCACUUCCAUCAGAGAGUCCACUGUGAAGGUGCCUACAAAGGUCUGCCAUUGGGUGGAGGUGCUGUUCCACAGUUAGGGUCACUCAGUACCAAGUGCAUAGGGCAAAAGCACAGUCAAACAGGUCUACAUAGUCUACAUAGAAAGUUCCAGGACAGACAGGUGUAGGACCCAGCAAUGACCGAGCUCAACAGAGGCCCUAGUCUCAGAAGUCUAAGGCAAUUCCUGGUUCCAAGAAAGACCACACACCCAGGCACCACCCAGGAACAGAUCAUCCACAGGAAAUUCCUAAUGUUUCAACCAUUGUAGAUAGGACCACUUGACGUCCCUUGGACUAGCACACACCCAUCACUUUCCCCCAGGACAUCCCUAGAGAAAUGUCAGCCAAUCAGGCUUGCUGAACCUUAGAAAUACCUAACCCCAAUCUCUGCUAUUAUAAAAACCUCAUCCCAACUAAUGUCAGGGCUCUCCUACCACACCAAUGCAUUGGACCCACAGAUAGUCCGAGUUCAAACUUAAAUAAGAAGAAAGGCUCUUUGCUUUUACAUACAGGACUCAGUCUCCUUGUUGGUUUUUGGGGGACUCCUUGAUCUGGGCAUAACACCAGGGCUACAAAGUGAGACACUAUCUUUAAAAAAAAAAUCAGGAUGAGAGGAAACAGUCAAAAUA